Molecule: ribosomal RNA, 400 nt
Filed under: phytoplankton environmental sample
Lineage: Eukaryota
Description: partial small subunit ribosomal RNA
Rfam family: Eukaryotic small subunit ribosomal RNA
Source: RNAcentral
AGCUCUGUAAGCGUAUACCAAAGUUGUUGCAGUUAAAACGCUCGUAGUCGGACGUUGGUGGGCGUGUCAGGUCGACCUCGCGGUUGUUCUUGGCACGAACGCCUUUGUGGAGGGGGGCUUCGUGGUGCUUCAUUGCCAUCGCGUUUAGUCGCUGCCACCGUUUACUGUGAAAAAAUUAGAGUGUUCAAAGCGGGCGUUUGCCAUGAAUACAUUAGCAUGGAAUAAUAGAAUAGGACCUGGUCCUGUUUUGUUGGUUUGUGAGUAUCAGGUAAUGAUUAAGAGGGACGGUUGGGGGCAUUUGUAUUCCGACGUUAGAGGUGAAAUUCUUGGAUCGUCGGAAGACAAACAGCUGCGAAAGCGUCUGCCAAGGACGUUUUCAUUGAUCAAGAACGAAAGUACG